Molecule: ribosomal RNA, 467 nt
Filed under: uncultured bacterium
Lineage: Bacteria
Description: partial 16S ribosomal RNA
Rfam family: Bacterial small subunit ribosomal RNA
Source: RNAcentral
GAUGAACGCUGGCGGCGUGCUUAAUACAUGCAAGUCGAACGGAAAGGCCUCUUUCGUGGUCUACUCGCGUGGGGAACGGGCGAGUAAGUCGUAAGUGGCCUGCCUUUCUCUUUGGCAUGACUUCAUUAAACUGAGGCUAAUACCUGAUGGGUGCUCUUUUUGCCCGCUUGGGUUUGUAAUGUUUCGGCGUUUGGGUGUGGAUUCGCGGCUUAUCAGCUUGUUGGUGGGGUAGUGGCUUACCAAGGCCUUGCCGGGGAGCCGGACUGAGAGGGUGACCGGCCACAUUGGGACUGAGAUACGGCCCAGACUCCUACGGGAGGCAGAAGUGGGGAAUAUUGCACAAUGGGUGGAAGCCUGAUGCGGCAACGCCGUGUGCGGGAUGACGGCCUUCGGGUUGUAAACCGCUUUCGCUCAUGACGAAGCUUUGUGUGACGGUAGUGGGUAAAGAAGCACCGGCUAACUACGUG